UUGUGAAUCGAGAAUCUUUUUCUUGUUUGGGGGUAAAUUUUCAAUUGGAGUUUUCUGCUUGCGUCAGAAUAUCUGAUUUUGUGAUUGGAUUUUGAAUUUCUUAGUUAUCAGUGUGCACUGGUUUUAGAGGAUAGGCUCUUGUGGAGUAGUAAUUUGAUAUAUGUGAAUGUGAAGUAAUAAAAAAGAGUUUAGGAUUAUGCAGAGGAUAAUUUUUGAGGAUUGUGCCCUUGUAUGAUAUCAAUGGGAGACCUUUUGUGCCUUCUGAAAAGUGAAAAGGCAUUAUUUUGAGGCAACUUCAUUGGUUUACACUGAUGCUUUCCUUGCUCUUUGAUCAGUUCUUCUUACUCGCAUGUUGCGGGCAUAGAAUUUAUUUUUUUCAUUGUUUUCAGAUGUUUUGGACAAUUAAAGAAGUGCACCCAACCUAAAUGCCUUUGAGCCGUGUCAAAAUGUAAAACUUUGACGAGUUAGAAAUUUUCGUUUCCGCUGGUUUUUCCCAGUUUUCCACCGUAUAUAGUUAUUAAUCAUCCUUGAUUUGUUGUUUUUGAGGUCUGAAAUUUUUGCCUGCAGCUUUUGACGAAUAAAAAGUUAAAAACCUAGCAUAAUUGUAACAUGGUUAGUUUACAGCUUUUAGGCAUGUGCUCUUAUAAGUUUUAAGAAGGUAUCAUGCUUAAGCAAAUUGGACUUGUUGAUGAACUUUGUGUCCAAGAUUUAACAUUUAGUUGAUACUUGGAACUAUGGUACAUGGUUUUCAACCUUAAAAUUUUCUUUUUCUGUCGUUGGGAGUAAUCUUCACGUAACACAAAGUCAAAUCAUGAACUUUGUCUCUGAAUAUUAGUUAUGCUUUAGACUGUAUUCUGUGGAUCUCUAGGUUGCCUAGGAUGUGCACAAAGGUCGAUUGAGGGUUUCAUGCAGUUCGUAGGGUUUCUUCUGACUGGAUAAUUAUUUUUCUCUUCAGUUUUGUUUCUUAUGCCCAGGUUGGUUGACUUUAAGGUUUACAGUGCUUCAUUAUUGUAUAUGCAUUUUUAGGAAUAAAGGGUGCACUUAGAUGAAUUCAAAAUUGAGUUGCAUUGAUAUUUAAUCCUAAACCUGGAAGGAAUUUUUUUUCUUCACCUGGUGGAUUUCCCAUCUUCAACCCACUCAUAUUGUAAACUAUAUGCAUUUGAUAUCUGGCGAACGAUUGUAUAUGCAUUUUCGGGGAUAAAGGGUCCACUUAGACGAAUUCAACCUUGAGAUAAUGAGACGCAUUAAUAUUUAAUCCUAAACUUGGAAGGCAUUAUUUUCUUCUCCUGGUGGAUAUUCCAUCUUAAACCCUCCCAUAUUGUAAACUAAAUGCAUUUGAUAUCUGACAAAUAGAGAGCUUGUAUCAUGUCCAUCAUUUUUAUGCACAUUAAUUGCUUUCACAACCCUGUGCAUAAUUUUACAAUGAUGUACUCACAUCUCCUUACAAUUUGGCAUAUUGGUAUAUCCUUUGCAUCUCACUUGACACUGAUGUCUCUAGAGGGGCUUUCACUGUUAAAUUUCAUGGUUGUUGGGGUUCUCAUAAUGUACACAUCAGAAACAGAAAUAUUCUGCUUCUUCUGUUUGCAUUUGAUUAAUGCAUGAUAUCAUUUUUCAAUAGUCCAGUAUCAUUUAUGUCCAAGUCAUCCAUUGCGAAGUCAUUUUUCCUUGUGUACUUGUGGAUUCUGUUCUACUCAUGCAUGUAAGGCUGAAAUCCUUCGCUAACAUUAAGUACUGCAUUGCUUGUUACAUAUUCUUCUCGACUCUGCUGGUGCUUUCCGACGAAAAACUGGACAACUUAUUUGCUCUCUCUGUAUCUCACUGAGCAUGUGUGUGCUGGAUUUGAGAUUCAUUAGUCUGUCAAUACCAGGCUUGCCUUUGCAGUAUGGACUUAAUACAGCCUCUUCAUCAGUAAUCCCAGUGGACUUUGCAGUAGAGGACCGUGGAAGAUUUCCUCGCAUUGUGUUUGGAAGAAAAGAGAGUUAUCCUCUGAUAGAUUAAUGGUUUAUGAGCGUCAAAUUGGUUUUACUGCUUAGAAUAUAUUUGGCCAUCAUUUAUUGAGCAAUGAUAUAUGCAUUGGCACCUUGGUUUUGUAAUUUAUGUCAAUAGUAUUUCAUUACAAAGUUGUAAAUAUGCUCUAAACAAAUAUGUGUGUAUUAGUUACUUGUAACUGGUUCAUUUUACAUAUUUAUUUUCAUUUGCACCAGACUUCAUCUU
Molecule: long non-coding RNA, 2214 nt
Organism: Tripterygium wilfordii
Lineage: Eukaryota; Viridiplantae; Streptophyta; Magnoliopsida; Celastrales; Celastraceae
Exons: 2
Source: RefSeq, a predicted model, not a curated record